UGAAAAAUAGUUGGAAGAAUUGAUAAUUUAAGAAAUUAUUUCAGACUGACCAGUUUUAGAAUAGCAGGGCAUCACACAAACAUGGAAAAGGGAAAUGGGACACAUAAGUAAAGUGAACUACAGACAUACAAACAACAUGUUGGAGGAAAUAAUCAGACAUGAUUGUAAGCCAAGGGUUCAAUUUCUUACUGCAUCAAAUUCUAAUACACUUAGCCUCAAACAGAGAUUUUAGGUUAAACAAGUAGCCAAGAAGACACUCAAAUAAAACAUUUCACUGAGAUAAGGAGGGGAUAAGGGAGCAAAUAAGCAAAGGGAAAAGACAACAUGCUGGGUAAAAGUAAUCAGACAUGGUUAAAAACAAGGGUUUAGCUCUUACUGUACCAAAUCCCAAAUAUAAUCAACCUCAUGAGAGGUUUAAGGACUGUUAAGUAACCAAGCAUCGGUGCAAAUGGAAGUGAAAAACAUGCAUUGAUACAAGGAAAGGGGAAUAGGGAAAACAUUCUAAGUUAAACUAGUAGACUAACAACUACACGCUAGUGGCAAUAAGAGCAAUUGAACCAUAGGUAAAAGCACACAAGAUAUAAUAUGAAUUGCAAAACUAAAAGGAGCAUGUUGUUUUGGAGGCUAUAUAUUAAAUAGGUGACAUACCGGUUGCAUGUAAUAAGACACAAUAGCAAUGCAAUAGUACACAAAGGGAGAGCAAAGUGUGCAAAGAAUGAGCAGCAGUAUGAGUAACAACAGUAGGAGAACAACAACAACAAUAUGAGAAUAGUAGCAGCAACAGACCCAAUGCAGAAAAACCAAUAGAACCAAAUAGUGUAAAGUAGUCAACCACAAGUUACUCAAACUUGGCUGUUAGCCGAUUGAGUGUUCAAAGAAGAGAGAAGAGAAUGAGAGAGUAUAAUAAUAGUAGAGAAAGAGAGAAUUCAGAAAGUUUUAGAUUGUGAGAGCAAUGUGUGUGUCUCAAAGAGAGAAGUGAGGAAUAUUUAUAGUAUUAAAAACGAGUGAACAAAUAAGGUAUCAAUCCAUACAUAAGGAGCUGAUAUCAAUCAUAAUCAAACAAGUAUAGGGACUCCCCUUUAAUUAAGGAAUCAUAGCCAAACGGUAACAAGCAGUCAUUUUUAAAAGGAAAGGAACCACAAGGUAUGGCCUGGCCACAUAAGAAAAUAAAAAUAGCAUAGGGUAUACAUUGCAGACUAGGUGCAUGAUACUUAACCAAGGAAAUAUGUCAAGCAAGUAAAUCAUCAUAUUUAUGCACAUAUGUAAGGAAAAUACCACUUCAAUUCUGGGAAAUAAUUUUUGAAAUUGAAAACUUGGGAGAUCAGUCAUCUAAUUGGGGAAUGUAUCACACUAAUUGAGGAAGAAAAUUUGAAAUCAAUACCAAAAUUGUAAGAAAAAUACACAAAUCACAAAGGAAUGUAUCCCACUGAUUGAGAAAGAAAAUUCGAAAUCAAUACAAAAACUGUAAGGAAAAUACACAAAUCAAUAUUUAAGGCUAGUAAUUGUAGUCUUAAAGAGAGCUUUUAAGAAUCAGUAUAAAAUCACCAUGUAAACAACUAGAAAAAAUUGUAAGAGAAGAACAACAGCAUGGUAUGGGAAUGAAGCAUUAGCAACAAAAAUCAAAGUAAAGGGUCCAGAGCUCAUAGAAGAAACCAGAAGAACAUGCAAAUAGGCAAAUAAAGAUACAAACAUGUAGGGUUAAGCUUUUUAUCAGAUUUUAACAAAAUACUUUGGGAGUAGUACUAAGAGCAACGGAUUAGUGCUAAAAUCGGAAAAGUGAAGUAUUUUCGAAGGGGAUUAAGAAACACUAGAAACACAAAUUACAGUAUGAAACCCAAGUUAACAAGGAAAACAAACAAACAAGUGAAAUAAACAAACACAAAUAGAAAUAUAGCACUCAGAAAGAGUAGAAGGAACAACUUUGAAGAAGGGGUCAGAAACCGUAACUUGAAAGAGUGGUAAUCAUCAAAAAAGAUUUGAAAUAAUCGGAAAAGAUAAGUAGAAAUUGAGUAGAAAAAAAAUCAGACUAAGAGUUAUUUUUAAAAGAGUGGAGAUUAAAUAGAAAAAAUUAGGGUUUUCAAACAGAUUAGGGAAACGAAGAACCUGGCUGUGAAACUCGUAUACAAUGCCAUAGAAAGCAUCAUCGUUCAAAGACCACCGGAGAAAAGCCGGAAGGAGACCCUAAAUAAAGCUUCCGCGUCCGUCUUCCAUGGCAGAAGCUGCUAGGCUUCAAGCUUCAAAGAAGAAACCACGAUAUAGGGACUCCAUGGUUGCUGGAAGUCGAGAGGAGUGAGGGAGGAGUGAGCUGGUAUGGCGAUGAAGGCCAUGAGAGAACCAGAAGGUUCUAGAGAGACGAAGGGUUAGAGAGUGUUUUUGGGAGUGAAAGGGGAUACAGG
Molecule: long non-coding RNA, 2396 nt
Filed under: Nicotiana benthamiana
Lineage: Eukaryota; Viridiplantae; Streptophyta; Magnoliopsida; Solanales; Solanaceae
Description: long non-coding RNA (NBEN_LNC023464)
Source: RNAcentral